Molecule: ribosomal RNA, 279 nt
Filed under: uncultured bacterium
Lineage: Bacteria
Description: partial 16S ribosomal RNA
Rfam family: Archaeal small subunit ribosomal RNA
Source: RNAcentral
UGCCAGCCUCCGCGGUACUACCUGCUCCUCAAGUGGUAGUCGCUUUUAUUGGGCCUAAAACGUCCGUAGCCGGUCUGAUACAUUCGUGGGUAAAUCAACCAGCUCAACUGGUUGAAUUCUGCGAGGACGGUCAGACUUGGGACCGGGAGAGGUGUGGGGUACGCUCAGGGUAGGGGUAAAAUCCUGUCAUCCUGAGCGGACCACCUGUUGCGAAGGCGCCACACUAGAACGGAUCCGACGGUCAGUGACGAAGCCUAGGGGCACGAACCGGAUUAGAUA